Molecule: long non-coding RNA, 1372 nt
Organism: Dermacentor albipictus
Lineage: Eukaryota; Metazoa; Arthropoda; Arachnida; Ixodida; Ixodidae
Source: RefSeq, a predicted model, not a curated record
CAUGUGCGUAUGGGCCACGCUCUAAUGGAAUCAACAUCAACAUUCGAGCACGCUGAGCAUCAAUCAUGAACGAGCCGGCAUGUGACAGCUGACCGCGAGCGAAGAAGGAUCGUCCAUCUAUGUUGGGUCAUCUGGAAUUGCCGACUGACAUGCUUCGCGCUGAUGAGUGAGCCAUCAUCAUCGCGUCUAUCUAUAAAUAGACGUCUAAAUCUAUAAACGACGAGUAUUUUGCCUGAGUUCUUCAAUGUACUGCUGCUAACGCGUUCGUGAUCCCAUUGUGUCUCUGACCAAGAUUGAUCGAGUGUCGGCGAUAAGGCAGACAGGACUCCGGUGCCUCCGAAGGGUGCAGACAGCCAUGUAGAAUGUGGUGAAGUUGUACCACUUGUGCAGAAGGUCUACACGGAUGGUAACAGCGACCUGAAGGUGGUCCGGGCUAUGCUUGCACGGACCGGUGUUUUGUGGCUGGAGCUGAGCAACUCGUAGCAGCUCCUGCCCAUGCUCCUGCGGAUAUUGGCCGGGGCCCAGUACUGGAUCGCGGUCGUUGAGCUCCUCACGGAGAAGCCCGCGAAGGCCUGCACCUUGUGUCAUUGCCGCUCAGCAGCCUCACCUCUGGCAGGCCGUGGCUGAGUGGCAGCACUCGGCAACAAGAGGACGAGUUCAGCAUGGCUGUCGUGGCGCGUGCCCAGUCUGAGGACACUCUGGACAGCAUAUACCAGAGCCACCGCGUGCUGCACCUUAGAAGCGACCAGUUCCUGCCGACGCUCCGGUGGCUGCAAUCGACAUUGGAAGCGAGAUCGCCGCUGCCUUCUCGGCGCUCCUACGCCCCGACAAUGAGACCUGGAAAGCGUUCACGGAAAGGACCUCUUGUGUGUCCGACGCAGCUUCGCCGACCGACAGUUUUUACGUCCUUCCGAAAGCCGCUUCUGUGCGCGUGCUGCACAAAGCAUUCACGCACGCCCUGAAUCGGACGGAGUCGCAGCCGCGCCUGGAAUACCUGCAGCAGCUGAGCUACGUGCAGCUUCUGUUCAUCGUGUGGUGCUACUUGCAGGGCGGACUGCCCGGAGAGCAGCGCCCGUGUGACUAGCCGGUGGCCGUGCUCCGAGCCUUCGGAGAAGCCUUCUAGUGUUCCGUUGGCAGCCCCAUGAGCUCGAGAAGGGACUGCACUUUCCUCGAGUGACGGCGACCAUUCUCUGCUUCUGUCACCUCCUCCUUCGCGAGCCUACCCAGAUUUCAAGACUCGUCUCUGCGAAAUAUAUACGUGGGCGCGCUAAGAACAAAAUAACUGACGGAAAACUCGCUUUCCGGGAGUAACCGCUUGUGCUCUAUUCAACUCUUUUGUUUGGAAUUCUUAAUGCUACUCCUCACUCGAGCA